GACGAACGCUGGCGGCGCGCCUAACACAUGCAAGUCGAGCGGAGAUAUUUGAAGGAAGUUUUCGGAUGGAAUUUGGGUAUUUUAGCGGCGGACGGGUGAGUAACGCGUGAGUGACCUGCCUUCCACAGGGGGAUAACGUACCGAAAGGUACACUAAUACCGCAUGAGACCACAGCACUGCCUGGUGCAGGGGUCAAAGGAGCAAUCCGGUGGAAGAUGGACUCGCGUCCGAUUAGAUAGUUGGUGGGGUAACGGCCUACCAAGUCAGCGAUCGGUAGCCGACCUGAGAGAGUGAUCGGCCACAUUGGAACUGAGAGACGGUCCAAACUCCUACGGGAGGCAGCAGUGGGGAAUAUUGGGCAAUGGGGGAAACCCUGACCCAGCGACGCCGCGUGAGGGAAGAAGGUUUUCGGAUUGUAAACCUCUGUUCUUGGUGAAGAGGGAAAGACGGUAGCCAAGGAGGAAGCCCCGGCUAACUACGUACCAGCCGCCGCAGUAA
This 498-nucleotide ribosomal RNA is filed under the name uncultured bacterium. Its description in RNAcentral is "partial 16S ribosomal RNA". It matches the Rfam family "Bacterial small subunit ribosomal RNA", at positions 28 to 523 of the family's 1533-position model. The record is from RNAcentral.